CGUCUUGCCACUCCCUUCCAGAUGGCCUCUCCAUCUUCCAAGUCUGCUCUAAGUGUCCCAGGGCCUCAUGCAGCCACUGGGAAUGCCCAGGGACCAAACUCAGCCUCCAACUUCUGGGAUCUUCAUCUCCCUUCAAACAUAAAAGAAGUUGUCUGCACGUUUGGGAUCUGGUAACAGGACCACAAGAAAACUCUUGCAGCAAACUGAAGGUUUCUAUUUCAGAUCCUUCCACCACCUUCACCACCAUCAUUUCCAUAAUCCACCACCACCAUCACCACUAUCAUCACUACUAUCUUCAUCACCACCUCUCAAUACCUCCAUCAUCACCACCCACCAUCAUCACCUCCACCACCAUGAGCACCACAUCUACCAUCAAAAAAGAGUUUAUUUCCCAGCUCUUUGACUCUUGACGCUGGGUUGGCCAUGUGACUUCUCUGGCUAAUAGGAUAUUAACAAAUGUGAUGCAAGCAGUGGCUUGAAAAAAGCAUGCACUUUGGAGUUUGCCCUCUCUUGCUGAUCUGGGAACCCUGCCACUACCACCACGUGAUCUAAUCUGGGCUGGCCUGCUGGAGGAUAACCGAUCAUGUGGAGCAGAGAUGAGCUAGUCCAGCUCCAGCCCUACGAGACUAAUCAGCCCGCCAAUCAGCAGAUACAUGAGAGACCAUUCUGGACCAUCCAGACCCUGCUCAGCUGGCCGAGGCCUGAACACCCCCCAGGUUGAGAGACUAGAGAUUCAUGAUAAAUAAUAAAAUAUUUAUUGUUUUAAGCCACAAAAUGUUGUGGUGGUUUGUUAUAGAGCAAAAGCUGGCUGAUACAGGGACCAUAUCUCAC
Molecule: long non-coding RNA, 831 nt
Filed under: Equus asinus (donkey)
Lineage: Eukaryota; Metazoa; Chordata; Mammalia; Perissodactyla; Equidae
Description: lncRNA (ENSEASG00005025743.1)
Source: RNAcentral